GGAGGGUUGGCCGAGUGGACCAAGGCAGCGGUUUGCUAAACCGUGGCGAUGUAAAAGUCGCCCGUGGGUUCGAAUCCCACACCCUCCGCCA
Molecule: transfer RNA, 91 nt
Filed under: candidate division WWE3 bacterium
Lineage: Bacteria; candidate division WWE3
Description: tRNA-Ser
Rfam family: tRNA
About the family: Transfer RNA (tRNA) molecules are approximately 80 nucleotides in length. Their secondary structure includes four short double-helical elements and three loops (D, anti-codon, and T loops).
Source: RNAcentral